RNAcentral lists this long non-coding RNA (257 nucleotides) under Lathyrus oleraceus (garden pea). RNAcentral's name for it is "Pisum sativum (pea) long non-coding RNA (PSAT_LNC037907)". Lineage: Eukaryota; Viridiplantae; Streptophyta; Magnoliopsida; Fabales; Fabaceae. The record is from RNAcentral.
GUUAAUCAGUUGACCCCAGCCAGUACGACCACCAUUUUCGACCACGGCUUGAGCGUCUUUCAGAGAAGUCAUAGCAGGAGGAGCACGAAUAACCUUGGGCACAUGGGAAGUUGGCUUAAGGACAGGGCUGGUCGGAGGAACUACUUCAAAUGACUGAGAAGGAGUCUCAAAGAAUUCGCCAUCCAUCUCGACGUAUCUGAAGGUAUGCACACUACUGACAAUAUACUCUUCUUCUCCACACACAGUGACAAUCUUGC